UGGCGUGGUGGACCGACCAGGGGUGACGGUGGGUUUGUCGUUUUUCGCCUUCGUAAUUUGACGAUAAUAAUUUACUCCAUCCUCCCGUUCCCCCGUUCCCCAUUCCCACUCCACCCUCCGCUGGCGACUAGUGAAAUGCCAAAUCCCCACGAAUUCCCGAGGGCUUUGCGGCGAGCGCGGCCGGCGGGAGAGCCGGCGACGUGUUAAUUCAAGGCAGCGAAGGAUUCCGCAACAGUUCGACGAGGGAGAGGGCGGCGCGUGUGUGCCAGAGAUGGAGGACAAGGAAACGGCGACGGGGGAGGGGUGUGGAGCAGGUGGUUCUGCGCGAGGCGGCGACGAACCCGGGAGACACAAGUUCCUGCUGCUUCGACGACCCGAGAAACAAGGUGCAAGGCAGAAGACAAGAUACAAUUCAAGAGUCAGUAGCCAUUUUAUGUAGCAUCCAAGGUCUACACGUGUGUAGGGGGAUGCAAGAAGGGGCAUGAUACUAGCCAGGUUCUCAAACAAUCCGGUACAGGGGGCAAUUUCUGCAAGUAGUAGAUCAGGGGGGUAGGUACAGACAGGGAAAUCCACAAGUUCUAGAACGAAGUUCAUGGACAAAACAAAUUGGAACAACCUGUUACCUUUUGUUGUUCACACGGGAGAAAUUUGCCCAGCUCUGGCAAUUUUUUGCCUGACCAGCAAGAAAGAGUUGCAGACGCAAUUGCAUUUUCAGGAUUUUUUUCCCA
This is a long non-coding RNA of Triticum urartu, 728 nucleotides long. RefSeq lists it as uncharacterized. The record is from RefSeq and is a predicted model, not a curated record. NCBI's taxonomy places the organism in Eukaryota, Viridiplantae, Streptophyta, Magnoliopsida, Poales, Poaceae.